This 245-nucleotide ribosomal RNA is filed under the name uncultured bacterium. RNAcentral's name for it is "partial 16S ribosomal RNA". It matches the Rfam family "Bacterial small subunit ribosomal RNA", at positions 104 to 334 of the family's 1533-position model. The record is from RNAcentral.
CGGGGUGAGUAACACGUAGGUAAUUUUCCUUUCCAGCGGGGGACGAACGUUCCGAAAGGACGCUAAUACCGCGUACGUUUCUCGGGACUCCGGUCCUGAGAAGGAAAGCUAGGUAGCAAUAUCCGGCACUGGAUGAGAAGCCUGCGUCGCAUCAGCUAGUUGGUGGGGUAACGGCCUACCAAGGCGAAGAUCGGUAGCCGGCCUGAGAGGGCGCACGGCCACACUGGAACUGAAACACGGUCCAG